Molecule: ribosomal RNA, 365 nt
Filed under: uncultured eukaryote
Lineage: Eukaryota
Description: SSU rRNA
Rfam family: Eukaryotic small subunit ribosomal RNA
Source: RNAcentral
AGCUCCAAUAGCGUAUAUUAUUGAUGUUGCAGUUGAAACGUUCGUAGUCGAAUUUUGUGUGCUUGGGUAAUAUAGCAACUAUGUUGCAAUAUUAUUUUCAGUACAUGUAGUGUAAAGAGGUACACAUUUAUGUGGACUCCUUUUUGCAUUUUACUUUGAGUGAAUCGGCGUGUUUCAUGCAGGCUUGUGCCUUGAACGAUUUACCAUAGCAUAAUUAUAGUAUGGAAUUGUCUUUUUGCUUGUUCAUGGACAUUUCCGAUACAGAUAAGAACGGUUGAGGGCAUUCGUAUUCAACUGCCAGAGGUGAAAUUCUUUGAUUAGUUGAGGACGAUCUACGGCGAAAGCAUCUGCCAUGGACGUAUCUG